RNAcentral lists this ribosomal RNA (439 nucleotides) under uncultured bacterium. Its description in RNAcentral is "bacterial SSU rRNA". It matches the Rfam family "Bacterial small subunit ribosomal RNA", at positions 338 to 793 of the family's 1533-position model. The record is from RNAcentral.
CCUACGGGGGGCAGCAGUGAGGAAUAUUGGGCAAUGGGGGCAACCCUGACCCAGCAAUGCCGCGUGCGGGAGGACGCCCUUCGGGGUGUAAACCGCUUUUGAGGGGGAGGAGCACGGACCGUACCCCUCGAAUAAGUCACGGCUAACUACGUGCCAGCAGCCGCGGUAAUACGUAGGUGACAAACGUUAUCCGGAAUUACUGGGCGUAAAGGGUCCGCAGGCGGUGGCGUAGGUCUGACGUGAAAGCUCCCGGCUCAACUGGGAGAGGCCGUUGGAAACCGCGUCACUUGAAUCACGCAGAGGUCGGUGGAAUUCCCGGUGUAGUGGUGGAAUGCGUAGAGAUCGGGAGGAACCUCGAAAGCGAAGGCAGCCGGCUGGGCGCUGAUUGACGCUGAGGGACGAAAGCGUGGGGAGCGAACAGGAUUAGAUACCCCAGUAG